UGCCUGGUCGGAAACCAGGCCUACGUUAGGAG
Non-coding RNA from Coriobacteriaceae bacterium BV3Ac1, 32 nucleotides. NCBI's taxonomy places the organism in Bacteria, Bacillati, Actinomycetota, Coriobacteriia, Coriobacteriales, Coriobacteriaceae. The record is from Rfam.